AGAAGAAGAAGAAGAAGAAGAAGGUGAAGGAUUUACGCGAUGGCCUUUGCUUUCAGACGACGAGCUUCUCUAAUCGUUCUAGCUAUGGUUUUCUUCGGUUAGUGUUUCUCUGUUCCUGCUUCACUCGUUUUUUUUUCGUCUGCUAUAUAUUGUUGUUUGGAUGGUUAGAAAGUGGAGGAAAGUACAGAAAAUUUGAAGUUUUUCCUGAGAAAAAAAAGAUGUGGAUGGUUUUAUCUAGCAUGUUGAAUUAUAUUAAUGAAAUUCUGGCGAUUUUGAGCAUAUAUUCUUUAUCACGGUUUAUGAUCCUACUGAGACUAAUGAUUUUAUUGUUAUAGUUUUAAAUUGAAUUUACGUGCAUGAAAUCUGAUAAUUUAAUCAUUAGUUUAUAGCAAUUGAAUAUAGCAAUGAUGAGCGUUAACUUUUGAGGUGAUCAUGGCUAGGUAGGCUGUACUGGAGCCAUGUUGACCUGUUAACCCUUUCUGGAUAAGUUAUGGAUUGAUGUUAAUUAUGUUUUCUUGCAUUUCCUCUUAGAGAGUAAUUUUUAGAGUAGUUUUGACAAAAGCGUUGGCUCUUGCAAAAAAUCUGGAGCAGAUUUAUUAAUGCGGUAGUUAAUUAAUGAACAGGGAGUUUAUUUGCAUUUUCCAUUGCGAAAGAGGAAGCAACCAAGCUAGGAACCGUAAUUGGCAUAGACCUUGGUACAACAUACUCUUGUGUGGGCGUUUACAGAAACGGUCAUGUUGAAAUCAUAGCCAAUGACCAGGGUAAUCGAAUUACCCCAUCAUGGGUUGCAUUCACUGAUACUGAGAGAUUGAUCGGUGAGGCUGCAAAGAAUCAGGCAGCUGUCAAUGCCGAAAGGACAAUCUUUGAUGUAAAGAGACUUAUCGGAAGAAAGUUUGAGGACAAGGAGGUUCAGAAGGAUAUGAAGCUUGUUCCAUACAAGAUUGUGAACAAGGACGGAAAGCCUUAUGUACAAGUCAUGAUUAGGGAUGGGGAGACUAAGGUUUUCAGUCCUGAGGAGAUAAGUGCCAUGAUUCUCACUAAGAUGAAGGAGACAGCUGAAGCAUUCCUUGGAAAGAAAAUCAAGGAUGCCGUUGUAACUGUACCAGCUUAUUUCAAUGAUGCCCAGAGGCAGGCAACCAAGGAUGCCGGUGUCAUUGCUGGUUUGAAUGUUGCAAGAAUCAUUAAUGAACCAACUGCAGCAGCCAUUGCCUAUGGUUUAGAUAAAAAGGAUGGUGAAAAGAACAUUCUUGUCUUCGACCUUGGUGGUGGGACAUUUGAUGUCAGUAUUUUGACAAUUGAUAAUGGUGUUUUU
Molecule: unclassified non-coding RNA, 1312 nt
Filed under: Hevea brasiliensis (rubber tree)
Lineage: Eukaryota; Viridiplantae; Streptophyta; Magnoliopsida; Malpighiales; Euphorbiaceae
Source: RNAcentral